UACGUAGGUGGCAAGCGUUGUCCGGAUUUACUGGGCGUAAAGAGCGCGCAGGCGACUGGGCAAGUCCGAUGUGAAAGCUUCCGGCUUAACUGGAAAAUUGCAUCGGAAACUGCUCGGCUUGAAGGUGGGAGAGGGUAGCGGAAUUCCCGGUGUAGUGGUGAAAUGCGUAGAUAUCGGGAGGAACACCAGUGGCGAAGGCGGCUACCUGGCCCACUCUUGACGCUGAGGCGCGAAAGCUAGGGGAGCAAACGGG
Molecule: ribosomal RNA, 253 nt
Filed under: uncultured bacterium
Lineage: Bacteria
Description: partial 16S ribosomal RNA
Rfam family: Bacterial small subunit ribosomal RNA
Source: RNAcentral